RNAcentral lists this ribosomal RNA (253 nucleotides) under uncultured bacterium. Its description in RNAcentral is "partial 16S ribosomal RNA". It matches the Rfam family "Bacterial small subunit ribosomal RNA", at positions 524 to 776 of the family's 1533-position model. The record is from RNAcentral.
UACGUAGGGUGCAAGCGUUGUCCGGAAUUAUUGGGCGUAAAGAGCUCGUAGGCGGUCUGUCGCGUCGGAUGUGAAAACCCAGGGCUCAACCCUGGGCCUGCAUUCGAUACGGGCAGACUAGAGUUCGGUAGGGGAGAACGGAAUUCCUGGUGUAGCGGUGAAAUGCGCAGAUAUCAGGAGGAACACCGGUGGCGAAGGCGGUUCUCUGGGCCUGUACUGACGCUGAGGAACGAAAGCGUGGGGAGCGAACAGG